Molecule: ribosomal RNA, 502 nt
Filed under: uncultured bacterium
Lineage: Bacteria
Description: bacterial SSU rRNA
Rfam family: Bacterial small subunit ribosomal RNA
Source: RNAcentral
GAUGAACGCUAGCUACAGGCUUAACACAUGCAAGUCGAGGGGAAACGAUAGAGAAAGCUUGCUUUUUCUAGGCGUCGACCGGCGCACGGGUGAGUAACGCGUAUCCAACCUGCCCAUCACUUGGGGAUAACCUUGCGAAAGUAAGACUAAUACCCAAUGACGUCUCUAGAAGACAUCUGAAGGAGAUUAAAGAUUUAUCGGUGAUGGAUGGGGAUGCGUCUGAUUAGCUUGUUGGCGGGUAACGGCCCACCAAGGCGACGAUCAGUAGGGGUUCUGAGAGGAAGGCCCCCCCANAUUGGAACUGAGACACGGUCCAAAACUCCUACGGGAGGCAGCAGUGAGGAAUAUUGGGUCAAUGGACGAGAGUCUGAACCAGCCAAGUAGCGUGCAGGAUGACGGCCCUAUGGGUUGUAAACUGCUUUAUAAGGGAAUAAAGUGAGUCUCGUGAGACUUUUUGCAUGUACCUUAUGAAUAAGGACCGGCUAAUUCCGUGCCAGCAGCC